RNAcentral lists this ribosomal RNA (324 nucleotides) under uncultured eukaryote. RNAcentral describes it as "partial 18S ribosomal RNA". It matches the Rfam family "Eukaryotic small subunit ribosomal RNA", at positions 1470 to 1796 of the family's 1831-position model. The record is from RNAcentral.
CCCUUAGAUGUUCUGGGCCGCACGCGCGCUACACUGAUGCAUUCAACGAGUUUCUUCCUGGUCCGAGAGUAAUGGGUAACCUUUUGAAAGUGCAUCGUGAUAGGGAUAGACUAUUGCAAUUAUUGGUCUUCAACGAGGAAUUCCUAGUAGACGUAGUUCAUCAGACUGCAUCGAUUACGUCCCUGCCCUUUGUACACACCGCCCGUCGCUCCUACCGAUUGAAUGCUCAGGUGAGCCAUUCGGACUUUCAUCAUGCUGGUUUCCAGUUUUGAUGAAGGAAAGUCUUGCGAACCUUAUCAUUUAGAGGAAGGAGAAGUCGUAACA